GGUUAAGCGACUAAGCGUACACGGUGGAUGCCCUGGCAGUCAGAGGCGAUGAAGGACGUGCUAAUCUGCGAAAAGCGCCGGCGAGGUGAUAUGAACCCUUGACCCGGCGAUGUCCGAAUGGGGAAACCCAGUGCAAUCCGUUGCACUAUCGUUAACUGAAUACAUAGGUUAACGAGGCGAACCGGGGGAACUGAAACAUCUAAGUACCCCGAGGAAAAGAAAUCAACCGAGAUUCCCCCAGUAGCGGCGAGCGAACGGGGAGCAGCCCGGAGUCUGAAUCAGCUUGUGUGUUAGUGGAACGGUCUGGAAAGUCCGACGGUACAGGGUGAUAGUCCCGUACACGAAAGCACACAUGCUGUGAACUCGAAGAGUAGGGCGGGACACGUGGUAUCCUGUCUGAAUAUGGGGGGACCAUCCUCCAAGGCUAAAUACUCCUGACUGACCGAUAGUGAACCAGUACCGUGAGGGAAAGGCGAAAAGAACCCCGGCGAGGGGAGUGAAAAAGAACCUGAAACCGUGUACGUACAAGCAGUGGGAGCCUCUUUAUGGGGUGACUGCGUACCUUUUGUAUAAUGGGUCAGCGACUUAUAUUCUGUAGCAAGGUUAACCGUAUAGGGGAGCCGAAGGGAAACCGAGUCUUAACUGGGCGUUAAGUUGCAGGGUAUAGACCCGAAACCCGGUGAUCUAGCCAUGGGCAGGUUGAAGGUUGGGUAACACUAACUGGAGGACCGAACCGACUAAUGUUGAAAAAUUAGCGGAUGACCUGUGGCUGGGGGUGAAAGGCCAAUCAAACCGGGAGAUAGCUGGUUCUCCCCGAAAGCUAUUUAGGUAGCGCCUCGUGAACUCAUCUUCGGGGGUAGAGCACUGUUUCGGCUAGGGGGCCAUCCCGGCUUACCAACCCGAUGCAAACUACGAAUACCGAAGAAUGUUAUCACGGGAGACACACGGCGGGUGCUAACGUCCGUCGUGAAGAGGGAAACAACCCAGACCGCCAGCUAAGGUCCCAAAGUCAUGGUUAAGUGGGAAACGAUGUGGGAAGGCACAGACAGCCAGGAUGUUGGCUUAGAAGCAGCCAUCAUUUAAAGAAAGCGUAAUAGCUCACUGGUCGAGUCGGCCUGCGCGGAAGAUGUAACGGGGCUAAACCAUGCACCGAAGCUGCGGCAGCGACACUAUGUGUUGUUGGGUAGGGGAGCGUUCUGUAAGCCGUUGAAGGUGUGCUGUGAGGCAUGCUGGAGGUAUCAGAAGUGCGAAUGCUGACAUAAGUAACGAUAAAGCGGGUGAAAAGCCCGCUCGCCGGAAGACCAAGGGUUCCUGUCCAACGUUAAUCGGGGCAGGGUGAGUCGACCCCUAAGGCGAGGCCGAAAGGCGUAGUCGAUGGGAAACAGGUUAAUAUUCCUGUACUUGGUGUUACUGCGAAGGGGGGACGGAGAAGGCUAUGUCAGCCGGGCGACGGUUGUCCCGGUUUAAGCAUGUAGGCGGAGGUUCCAGGUAAAUCCGGUACCUUGUUAACGCUGAGGUGUGAUGACGAGGCACUACGGUGCUGAAGUGAUAAAUGCCCUGCUUCCAGGAAAAGCCUCUAAGCAUCAGGUAACACGAAAUCGUACCCCAAACCGACACAGGUGGUCAGGUAGAGAAUACCAAGGCGCUUGAGAGAACUCGGGUGAAGGAACUAGGCAAAAUGGUGCCGUAACUUCGGGAGAAGGCACGCUGAUGUGUAGGUGAAGCCCCUGCGGGUGGAGCUGAAAUCAGUCGAAGAUACCAGCUGGCUGCAACUGUUUAUUAAAAACACAGCACUGUGCAAACACGAAAGUGGACGUAUACGGUGUGACGCCUGCCCGGUGCCGGAAGGUUAAUUGAUGGGGUUAGCGGCAACGCGAAGCUCUUGAUCGAAGCCCCGGUAAACGGCGGCCGUAACUAUAACGGUCCUAAGGUAGCGAAAUUCCUUGUCGGGUAAGUUCCGACCUGCACGAAUGGCGUAAUGAUGGCCAGGCUGUCUCCACCCGAGACUCAGUGAAAUUGAACUCGCUGUGAAGAUGCAGUGUACCCGCGGCAAGACGGAAAGACCCCGUGAACCUUUACUAUAGCUUGACACUGAACACUGGUCCUUGAUGUGUAGGAUAGGUGGGAGGCUUUGAAGCGUGGACGCCAGUCUGCGUGGAGCCNNNNNNNNNNNNNNNNNNNNNNNNNNNNNNNNNNNNNNNNNNNNNNNNNNNNNNNNNNNNNNNNNNNNNNNNNNNNNNNNNNNNNNNNNNNNNNNNNNNNNNNNNNNNNNNNNNNNNNNNCCGGGUUGCGGACAGUGUCUGGUGGGUAGUUUGACUGGGGCGGUCUCCUCCCAAAGAGUAACGGAGGAGCACGAAGGUUGGCUAAUCCUGGUCGGACAUCAGGAGGUUAGUGCAAUGGCAUAAGCCAGCUUGACUGCGAGCGUGACGGCGCGAGCAGGUGCGAAAGCAGGUCAUAGUGAUCCGGUGGUUCUGAAUGGAAGGGCCAUCGCUCAACGGAUAAAAGGUACUCCGGGGAUAACAGGCUGAUACCGCCCAAGAGUUCAUAUCGACGGCGGUGUUUGGCACCUCGAUGUCGGCUCAUCACAUCCUGGGGCUGAAGUAGGUCCCAAGGGUAUGGCUGUUCGCCAUUUAAAGUGGUACGCGAGCUGGGUUUAGAACGUCGUGAGACAGUUCGGUCCCUAUCUGCCGUGGGCGCUGGAGAAUUGAGGGGGGCUGCUCCUAGUACGAGAGGACCGGAGUGGACGCAUCACUGGUGUUCGGGUUGUCAUGCCAAUGGCACUGCCCGGUAGCUAAAUGCGGAAGAGAUAAGUGCUGAAAGCAUCUAAGCACGAAACUUGCCCCGAGAUGAGUUCUCCCUGAGACUUUAAGUCUCCUGAAGGAACGUUGAAGACGACGACGUUGAUAGGUCGGGUGUGUAAGCGCAGCGAUGCGUUGAGCUAACCGAUACUAAUGAACCGUGAGGCUUAACCUU
This 2973-nucleotide ribosomal RNA is filed under the name Enterobacter hormaechei. RNAcentral describes it as "23S ribosomal RNA". It matches the Rfam family "Bacterial large subunit ribosomal RNA". Lineage: Bacteria; Pseudomonadati; Pseudomonadota; Gammaproteobacteria; Enterobacterales; Enterobacteriaceae. The record is from RNAcentral.